UAUGCCCUACGGGGCGCAGCAGUGGGGAAUAUUGCACAAUGGGGGAAACCCUGAUGCAGCGACGCCGCGUGGGUGAAGAAGUAUUUCGGUAUGUAAAGCCCUAUCAGCAGGGAAGAAGAAUGACGGUACCUGACUAAGAAGCACCGGCUAAAUACGUGCCAGCAGCCGCGGUAAUACGUAUGGUGCAAGCGUUAUCCGGAUUUACUGGGUGUAAAGGGAGCGCAGGCGGCACGCUAAGCCUGAUGUGAAAACCCGCGGCCCAACCGCGGGAGUGCAUUGGGAACUGGCGGUCUAGAGAACCGGAG
RNAcentral lists this ribosomal RNA (305 nucleotides) under uncultured bacterium. RNAcentral describes it as "bacterial SSU rRNA". It matches the Rfam family "Bacterial small subunit ribosomal RNA", at positions 333 to 654 of the family's 1533-position model. The record is from RNAcentral.